GUCGGUGUACAAGGAUCUUUUUGCAAAGAAGAAAAAAGAGCGACAACAGCUGCCUAUCACUAUGUUCUUCUCCCGAACAAACACACCUGCACCGCGGGCUUCAGAAGAAGAGAACACUGCAGAGCGCAGUCAGGAUGCAGCGGCCCAGUCUGAAGAGCAGUGAAACGGCCUACACGCGAGUCACUGUAUUUGUAUACAUGUAAUAGUUGCUAAUUGUAAAAAAAAAAAAAGUUUUCUAUUUCGCGGAUUUCACUUAUCGCGGGUCAUUUUCGGAACGUAACCCCCGCGAUAAACGAGGGAUUACUGUAUUCUCUUUCUCCCAAAUGCCUAAUGAGAGCCCAUCACCAGAGAGCCCACCGUCACUUUCAUUAUCGUUAGCUAACAUUUACUAAAGCUGCGCACUUUGGCUCCUUUAGCCAUGACUGACUGACUUUCUGACCUUUGGUCAUGAUGCUAACGAGCUCAGCUAACUAACGUUAGCUUGAAUGCUGACAUGGAAAUGGGGAAUUUCCCUGGUUUAACUUUUAAGAACGUUUCACAACUUGUGUGCAAGCGUUAUUUAACAGAGAGUUAUGUUAUACACUACAACAAAAAACAGUUACUUACCAAAUAACGAAUUUUCACCCGAGCCAGACAAAAUGAUGUUGCGUCUCGCUCCGUUCCUCACGGCAGUCCGGCCACGACCACCUGCAGAGGACGUGUGUCUCGCGCCCCCCCCAUCCGCGGUUGUCGUCUCGCGCCGCGUCGUCAGCGUUAUUAUUGCGCAAGUGUUCUGGUGUGAGUGUUUUUUUGUGAAGGAGGAGAUGGAAGGAGAGGAAGUAGAAGAUGUGUUCAACUGAGGGUGUGUUCUUGGAAAAGAUAAAAAUAAA
Long non-coding RNA from Gasterosteus aculeatus aculeatus (three-spined stickleback), 869 nucleotides. Lineage: Eukaryota; Metazoa; Chordata; Actinopteri; Perciformes; Gasterosteidae. The record is from Ensembl.